This 153-nucleotide non-coding RNA is filed under the name Leptolyngbya sp. Lineage: Bacteria; Bacillati; Cyanobacteriota; Cyanophyceae; Leptolyngbyales; Leptolyngbyaceae. The record is from RNAcentral.
UAUAAUGAUGGCCUUAUCGGUUUUGUCGAGGAACAGUCGACAAAAGCAAUGGGGAAAGAAUGGUGCAAAUCCAUCGCUGUCCCGCAACUGUAAUGAAGGUUUAGUGAUUACUAGCUUCUGAGUCAGGAUGCCCGCCGAUAGUUAUACGUACAU